Molecule: ribosomal RNA, 252 nt
Filed under: uncultured Bacteroidales bacterium
Lineage: Bacteria; Pseudomonadati; Bacteroidota; Bacteroidia; Bacteroidales
Description: partial 16S ribosomal RNA
Rfam family: Bacterial small subunit ribosomal RNA
Source: RNAcentral
UACGUAGGUGGCAAGCGUUAUCCGGAUUUAUUGGGUUUAAAGGGUGCGUAGGCGGGCUUUUAAGUCAGCGGUAAAAAUUCGGGGCUCAACCCCGUCCGGCCGUUGAAACUGUGUCCCUUGAGUGCGCGAAGGGUAGGCGGAAUGCGUGGUGUAGCGGUGAAAUGCAUAGAUAUCACGCAGAACUCCGAUCGCGAAGGCAGCCUACCGGCGCGCUACUGACGCUCAUGCACGAAAGCGUGGGUAUCGAACAGG